This is a long non-coding RNA of Hippocampus comes (tiger tail seahorse), 128 nucleotides long. RefSeq lists it as uncharacterized. NCBI's taxonomy places the organism in Eukaryota, Metazoa, Chordata, Actinopteri, Syngnathiformes, Syngnathidae. The transcript has 3 exons. The record is from RefSeq and is a predicted model, not a curated record.
UACCUUCACGCACAUCAACCUGUCUGACUCUCGUUUUACUUCUACUACAUGUCUAGCAUAUUUUUCCUUUAUAAUCACCCCUACUCCAUUCCUCUUCCCAUCUACACCAUGGAGCGUGGAUAAAUUAA